AUGGCGACCGGCGCACGGGUGCGUAACGCGUAUGCAACCUACCUGUAACAGGGGGAUAACACUGAGAAAUCGGUACUAAUACCGCAUAACACUAUGAGAGGCAUCUCUUGUGGUUGAAAGUUUCGGCGGUUACAGAUGGGCAUGCGUUGUAUUAGCUGGUUGGUAAGGUAACGGCUUACCAAGGCGACGAUACAUAGGGGGACUGAGAGGUUAACCCCCCACAUUGGUACUGAGACACGGCCCAAACUCCUACGGAAGGCAGCAG
RNAcentral lists this ribosomal RNA (265 nucleotides) under uncultured bacterium. RNAcentral describes it as "partial 16S ribosomal RNA". It matches the Rfam family "Bacterial small subunit ribosomal RNA", at positions 88 to 354 of the family's 1533-position model. The record is from RNAcentral.